RNAcentral lists this ribosomal RNA (253 nucleotides) under uncultured bacterium. RNAcentral describes it as "partial 16S ribosomal RNA". It matches the Rfam family "Bacterial small subunit ribosomal RNA", at positions 524 to 776 of the family's 1533-position model. The record is from RNAcentral.
UACAGAGGUGGCAAACGUUGUCCGGAUUUAUUGGGUGUAAAGGGCAUGUAGGUGGUUUUGUAAGUCAAAGGUGAAAUGGCCCGGCUUAACCAGGUCAUUGCCUUUGAUACUGCAAGGCUUGAGUACGGAAGAGGAGAGCGGAAUUCCAGGUGUAGCGGUGAAAUGCGUAGAUAUCUGGAGGAACACCGGUGGCGAAGGCGGCAUCCUGGACCGGUAUUGACGCUGAGGCGCGAAAGCUAGGGGAGCAAACGGG